UACGGACACGCAAAAGAACCUGCGUGUCUCGUGUCGGAAACGUGUCGGACACGGACAUGCGAAAAUCCGUGUCCGACACGCCAAAUGAAGUGUCUAAUAUUUUAAUAUUUUUUCGGACACGUGGACACGGCAAGGACACGUUUUUAAAAAAAAAAUUAAAAAAUUGAAAACAGAGAACCAGAAGUCCAGAACACGCGAAUUCCCUCUCAAUUCCCACUCUUGCUCUCACUCCUCUCAACUCUCUUUCACUCUAACCCUAAAAACUCUACACAACUCUUUCUCCACGGCCACUGUUGCUGCCGCACUCCCGCACCACGCCACCGCCGGCUGCUGCUCCAUCACAGACGCCUUCCGCCGCUGCUGCCUGGUGCUUUGAGCCUUUGACGUUGUCGGUGCUUUGCGUUCAAUCAUGUCUAGUAAUGGGGCUAGUGGCUCUGAUUCAUGCAAUGUUAGUGGUGAUGCUACAAAUAAAGAGGUUGAUUUCGGUUCUUGAUGAGUCCGAGUUGGAAUUUACUUUUGUAGCGGAGGAUGAUGAUGGAUGUCAUAUGGAUGAUGUGUGAUGAUCAAACUUAAAUUUACCUAUUUAUUUGGUUUUCUUUGAUUUGGUUUGUAUGACUAUUUUUAAAUACUCAUGUUAUUUAUUUGGUACUUUUUUGCA
Molecule: long non-coding RNA, 658 nt
Organism: Amaranthus tricolor (Joseph's coat)
Lineage: Eukaryota; Viridiplantae; Streptophyta; Magnoliopsida; Caryophyllales; Amaranthaceae
Exons: 2
Source: RefSeq, a predicted model, not a curated record